GAUGAACGCUGGCGGCGUGCUUAACACAUGCAAGUCGAACGAUGAAGCUGGAGCUUGCUCUGGUGGAUUAGUGGCGAACGGGUGAGUAACACGUGAGCAACCUGCCCCUGACUCUGGGAUAACAGCCGGAAACGGCUGCUAAUACCGGAUAUGCACCAUGAACGCAUGUUCUGUGGUGGGAAAGAUUUUUCGGUUGGGGAUGGGCUCGCGGCCUAUCAGCUUGUUGGUGAGGUAAUGGCUAACCAAGGCGUCGACGGGUAGCCGGCCUGAGAGGGUGACCGGCCACACUGGGACUGAGACACGGCCCAGACUCCUACGGGAGGCAGCAGUGGGGAAUAUUGCACAAUGGGCGAAAGCCUGAUGCAGCAACGCCGCGUGAGGGAUGACGGCCUUCGGGUUGUAAACCUCUUUUAGCAGGGAAGAAGCGAGAGUGACGGUACCUGCAGAAAAAGCGCCGGCUAACUACGUG
This 469-nucleotide ribosomal RNA is filed under the name uncultured bacterium. RNAcentral's name for it is "partial 16S ribosomal RNA". It matches the Rfam family "Bacterial small subunit ribosomal RNA", at positions 28 to 507 of the family's 1533-position model. The record is from RNAcentral.